GCUCCUAAAGGAUAAUAGCUCAUCCGUUGGUCUUAGGAACCAAAAACUCUUGGUGCAACUCCAAGUAGCAGCUAUGCAUCUUACGCCUCUA
Molecule: transfer RNA, 91 nt
Filed under: Fundulus olivaceus (blackspotted topminnow)
Lineage: Eukaryota; Metazoa; Chordata; Actinopteri; Cyprinodontiformes; Fundulidae
Description: tRNA-Leu(CUN)
Rfam family: tRNA (bases 1-73)
About the family: Transfer RNA (tRNA) molecules are approximately 80 nucleotides in length.
Source: RNAcentral